GAUGAACGCUGGCGGCGUGCCUAAUACAUGCAAGUCGAGCGAACAGACGAGGAGCUUGCUCCUCUGACGUUAGCGGCGGACGGGUGAGUAACACGUGGAUAACCUACCUAUAAGACUGGGAUAACUUCGGGAAACCGGAGCUAAUACCGGAUAACAUGUUGAACCGCAUGGUUCAACAGUGAAAGACGGUCUUGCUGUCACUUAUAGAUGGAUCCGCGCCGCAUUAGCUAGUUGGUAAGGUAACGGCUUACCAAGGCAACGAUGCGUAGCCGACCUGAGAGGGUGAUCGGCCACACUGGAACUGAGACACGGUCCAGACUCCUACGGGAGGCAGCAGUAGGGAAUCUUCCGCAAUGGGCGAAAGCCUGACGGAGCAACGCCGCGUGAGUAAAGAAGGUCUUCGGAUCGUAAAACUCUGUUAUUAGGGAAGAACAAAUGUGUAAGUAACUAUGCACGUCCUGACGGUACCUAAUCAGAAAGCCACGGCUAACUACGUG
RNAcentral lists this ribosomal RNA (497 nucleotides) under uncultured bacterium. Its description in RNAcentral is "partial 16S ribosomal RNA". It matches the Rfam family "Bacterial small subunit ribosomal RNA", at positions 28 to 507 of the family's 1533-position model. The record is from RNAcentral.